AAUGUCCGAUAGAUCAUUAUGCCUGGAACGGUUUAUGGUCGAAACGAAUAUCGCCGUAGGAUGGGACUGCGAGCUAUCAGCUUGUUGGUGAGGUAAUGGCCCACCAAGGCAAUUACAGCUACGGGCUCUGAGAGGAGUAGCCCGGAGAUGGGUACUGAGACAAGGACCCAGGCCCUAUGGGGCGCAGCAGGCGAGAAAACUUUGCAAUGUGCGAAAGCCCGACAAGGUUAAUCUGAGUGGUUUCUGCUAAAGGAACCUUUUGUUAGUCCUAAAAACACUGAUGAAUAAGGGGUGGGCAAGUUCUGGUGUCAGCCGCCGCGGUAAAACCAGCACCUCAAGUGGUCAGGAUGAUUAUUGGGCCUAAAGCAUCCGUAGCCUGUUCUAUAAGUUUCCGGUUAAAUCCAUACGCUCAACGUAUGGGCUGCCGGAAAUACUGUAGAACUAGGGAGUGGGAGAGGUAGACGGUACUCGAUAGGAAGAGGUAAAAUUCUUUGAUCUAUUGAUGACCACCUGUGGCGAAGGCGGUCUACCAGAACACGUUCGACGGUGAGGGAUGAAAGCUGGGGGAGCAAACCGGAUUAGAUACCCGGGUAGUCCCAGCCGUAAACGAUGCAAACU
RNAcentral lists this ribosomal RNA (618 nucleotides) under uncultured archaeon. Its description in RNAcentral is "bacterial SSU rRNA". It matches the Rfam family "Archaeal small subunit ribosomal RNA", at positions 148 to 768 of the family's 1478-position model. The record is from RNAcentral.